AUGUUGCAGAAGCAAAAGGAACCCAUAGAGGAGGGUGAAGUACCUUUAAUAGAGCAACAGAUUUGCGAGCAUGUGCUUGGUAAGGCAUAUGGUUACAUCAGAGGUAGGGGUCAUGGACCAAAACCAAAUAGAAGGGCUUACUCAAGCGCAUCAAGCUCAACUCAGCAUGUAGUGGAAGAAUUGGCCUCUACAAAGGAGAUUGUUGCUACACAACAAACUCAAAUUGAGGCUCAACAAUCUCAACUUGAAGCUCAACAGAAGAAGAUCGAUUGGCUACAAAGUGUCGUGUCUAACUUAGUUGGCAUUUCACCUCCUAUGGACGGCACUACUGCAACAGGGCUACGUUUCACAACUGAGCGGCCAAUGCCAUCUGACGGAAUAGGUUCGCUGAUGUCUAACACUGUACAAAGGAUGUCAAGUUUUCCAAGAUCAUUUGCAAGUCAUUUGAGGCCAGGAUAUAGACCUACUCCAACUUCUUCUUCUGAUGGAAAUGGUAUGAUCAGUUUGCCUCUGCUUCAAACAAUCAAAAUACUAUGUGAUUUGGCAAAUUUCUUCAUGAUCUUAAUCUUGAUGGUCCAAAUUUGUGAAUCACAGGCUCUCUGGUGUCGGAUGGAGGGUCUAGGUAUUCAUGAUCAGUGCUACCUUCAUUUUAUGUUGGUUAGUUGCCUUUGUCUACCAUCCUUUUCAUUUUUCUACUGA
RNAcentral lists this ribosomal RNA (699 nucleotides) under Triticum aestivum (bread wheat). Its description in RNAcentral is "partial small subunit ribosomal RNA". The record is from RNAcentral. Lineage: Eukaryota; Viridiplantae; Streptophyta; Magnoliopsida; Poales; Poaceae.